Molecule: ribosomal RNA, 426 nt
Filed under: uncultured bacterium
Lineage: Bacteria
Description: bacterial SSU rRNA
Rfam family: Bacterial small subunit ribosomal RNA
Source: RNAcentral
GUAGGGAAUCUUGCACAAUGGGCGAAAGCCUGAUGCAGCGACGCCGCGUGCGGGAUGAAGGCCUUCGGGUUGUAAACCGCUUUCAGCAGGGACGAAAUUGACGGUACCUGCAGAAGAAGCCCCGGCCAACUACGUGCCAGCAGCCGCGGUAAUACGUAGGGGGCGAGCGUUGUCCGGAUUUAUUGGGCGUAAAGAGCUCGUAGGCGGUUCCGCAAGUCGGAUAUGAAAUCUCCACGCUUAACGUGGAGGGGUUAUUCGAUACUGCGGUGACUAGAGUCCGGUAGGGGAGUGUGGAAUUCCCGGUGUAGCGGUGAAAUGCGCAGAGAUCGGGAGGAACACCCGUAGCGAAGGCGGCACUCUGGGCCGUGACUGACGCUGAGGAGCGAAAGCGUGGGUAGCGAACAGGAUUAGAAACCCUGGUAGUCC